Molecule: non-coding RNA, 2690 nt
Organism: Equus caballus (horse)
Lineage: Eukaryota; Metazoa; Chordata; Mammalia; Perissodactyla; Equidae
Source: RefSeq, a predicted model, not a curated record
UCUUCUGAGUCACAUGUUCCUCCACUGUCUCUCAGUGGGCUCAGAUGCUCCUUCCUUGUGUACCACCUGCACUGCUGUUCCCAUGUUGUCUUGGGGUGCUGGUUACAUCACUGCCAUGGGUGCUGGGUUCAUGAGUGUUGCUGUGCUGUCAGGUGCCUGGGCACCAGGGGACUUGUAUGGAACCCCCACUGCUGGUGGAGCUGGUGUCAAGGAUGCUGCCACUGGAUCUUCAUCACUGGUUCUACUGUGGUUCCUGAUGCCUCAGGCUGCAGGUUCUAGCUGCAACUGCUAAGGGGGAGCAGGAGCUGUUUUUUCUGCUCUGGCCCCAUCUGCUGGUGGUUGUGUGGUGUGGGGCACUGCUGCUGAACCACUGAUCCAUGGGCAGUCUUGUGAUCUGGGCCACUGCUCUUGCCGCUCCGUGGGCAGUUGUGCAGGCUGGGCUGCCCUUGCCUCGCCUCGCAGUCAGGUCAUCAAAGUCUGAAGAAGAGUCUGGCAAUUGCUUCCCAAUAGGCUCCUGGUUCUGUUUGUCUUGUUGGACUCAUCGGAGAAAAUGAGACACCAGCACGUGAAGUGUGUUGAAGUAUUCUAUUUGACAAGCCAGACUGGGCACUUUCCCAUAUAUACAGAUGGAACCAUGUCUGAGGCCAACACUAUCCUGAGAAAUCACUUUGCCCCAAAGUGAUGCAAGAUGACCAUUUGGAAAGGCCUCCUGGAAAAGGCGGUGGAAAGGAGAGGAAACACCGGUUUUGGAGCUCUGUUCCCAUUCCUGUGGUUUAUGCUGGCCUGGGCCCUUAGAUUUAAUUCUCUUAGAACUUUUUAUGAGUUAGUAAAUAUGGGUUUUAUCACCCAUUCUGGGGUGGUUUCACAGGGGAGAAAGGGUGGGUCUAUACGACCUUGGCUACCCCUAGACUCUAGUUAGUCUGAGACUCUUCCAGGGUAACUUGUAGGUUGAAGUCAGUUUUUAAUACCCUCCUUCAAAGACAAAGCCAGAACCCUAGGAAGUUUCAACUCUAUUACAAUGUACUUGACUUGAAACUGUCACUAAACGCUGAUAGUCAUAAAAUGCAGAGCAAGCCAGUGAGCGAGCAAGCAUGCAGGAGUGAGCAAGCCACAUCUGUUGAACGGUGAACCCCAAGAGUUCACUUACCCCAAUUCCCUCCACAAAAGGUAACCAUGGAAACCUCAUAAUCCAGAGCAUCAUCUGUCUCCAAGCAAAAUACACACACACACACACACAAGCAUGCCCUAGGAGGGCAGUGUGUGUGUGUGAGUAUGUGUGCAUGUGCUCAUGUUUCACUUCUGUGGAUGUGGGGUGUGUCUGUGUGAUGCUUCGACAGUUUGUGUGUGUGUACAUCAAAUGGAAUCAGCAUGGGCGUUCGCUGCCACAUGCUUUCCGGUUCUGCUCUCAGGGGUGGUGAAAGAGCGUAGGUUUGUCCUAAUGUUUGGGUGCUGUGCUCGGAGCUGGUUAGAGCAUGUGGGCGAGGACGUGCAUUUUCAAUUUUGUGGAGGGCAAUGUGGUGGCAUGGUGUGGGCAUACAGGAAGCUUUGUAACUUAUUUUUUUCCCCUAUCAGAUUUCUAUUGCACGAAAGUGUCCGGGAGUUGGGUUGUCACCAGCUGGGCAGUAUCAUUCCCCUGGGAUGGGAGAACUCAGCGUGGAUCCAUAUUGAGCUUCUCAAAUGAUCUAGUGUGGAUGCAAAUUCAGCAGUUGCUUCCUGGAUGACAGAAAUCCACACUGGCAUCUCCCAGCAGGGGCCUGAACCACUGCCCACAUCCUCCCUGACUCCUCCGCUGAUGGCCCCUCUGCCUCUGGCAGCACCACCUCAGCCUCCAUCUGCUUUCCUCUCGGCCCUGCUCCCAGAAGAAAGCAGUCAGGCUAAAGGGCUACAAGAUAUUUGCUGUCAGGCUGUUGCCUGAGGCUCUGACACCUUGGAGGGAACUUCCAAUGCUGCAUGGGUAAGAGUUACUUUUUGAGUGUGCACAAACGGUGCUGGAGCAACCCGGAGACGGGCUGAAGGGAACCAUCCCAUUGGUGUUGUUCACGUCCCCAUUCCUGCUGGAGCCCAUCCUCGGUCCCUCCAGGAGCUAUUUCCACUCUGGACUGUCCCCACCAAAAUGUCUGAAAGGGCCUCUUGCCCUUGGCUCACCACCUCAUCAAAACAGUUUGGAGAGGAGGGCUCCUUCACCCCAUCCAUGGUGUAGAGGCGAGGCGGGGACUCCAACGGGCUCCCGCUCUGGCUUCCUCACCUGUGCCCCUUCUGGGGGGUGUCUUGAGUUUUUAACAAGCAGCCAUUCAGAAACCUGUCGUUUGAGGUUAUUUACUAUUUCAUUCAACUGCUACUUAAGUGUCUCCCAAACGGCAGCCAGCGGGGUACAGCAAUGAAGGAGGCACUCUUUUUCCCAUGGUGUGGAGGAACCCACAAUACAGUGAGGUAAGGUAUAAUAGGGGUUAACCUGGGGCAUUAUGGGAGCUGAUAAGCGGGGCAAGGGGGCUUCUUAGAGGAACUGAUGUCUGAUCUGCAACCUGAGGAUGAGGGGGGAUUAGCUUGGUAAAGGGAGGUAAUAAGACACUUUCCAACAAAGGAGAAUGAGAUAUUUAUUAAAAAUAGGUGAAACUUUGGGCCAGGCCCAGUGGCCUAGUGGUUAAGUUUGGUGCACUCCACUUUGGCAGCCCUGGUUCAGUUCCCAAGCA